This 496-nucleotide ribosomal RNA is filed under the name uncultured bacterium. RNAcentral describes it as "partial 16S ribosomal RNA". It matches the Rfam family "Bacterial small subunit ribosomal RNA", at positions 29 to 507 of the family's 1533-position model. The record is from RNAcentral.
AUGAACGCUGGCGGCGUGCCUAAUACAUGCAAGUAGAACGCUGAAGGCAGGAGCUUGCUCUUUCCGGAUGAGUUGCGAACGGGUGAGUAACGCGUAGGUAACCUGCCUGGUAGCGGGGGAUAACUAUUGGAAACGAUAGCUAAUACCGCAUAACAGUAGAUGUUGCAUGAUAUCUACUUAAAAGGUGCAAUUGCACCACUACCAGAUGGACCUGCGUUGUAUUAGCUAGUUGGUGAGGUAACGGCUCACCAAGGCGACGAUACAUAGCCGACCUGAGAGGGUGAUCGGCCACACUGGGACUGAGACACGGCCCAGACUCCUACGGGAGGCAGCAGUAGGGAAUCUUCGGCAAUGGACGGAAGUCUGACCGAGCAACGCCGCGUGAGUGAAGAAGGUUUUCGGAUCGUAAAGCUCUGUUGUAAGAGAAGAACGAGUGUGAGAGUGGAAAGUUCACACUGUGACGGUAUCUUACCAGAAAGGGACGGCUAACUACGUG